UACAGAGGUCUCAAGCGUUGUUCGGAUUCAUUGGGCGUAAAGGGUGCGUAGGCGGCGCGGUAAGUCGGGUGUGAAAUCUCGGAGCUUAACUCCGAAACUGCAUUCGAUACUGCCGUGCUUGAGGACUGGAGAGGAGACUGGAAUUUACGGUGUAGCGGUGAAAUGCGUAGAUAUCGGAAGGAAGACCAGUGGCGAAGGCGGGUCUCUGGACAGAUCCUGACGCUGAGGCACGAAGGUCAGGGGAGCAAACGGG
This 253-nucleotide ribosomal RNA is filed under the name uncultured bacterium. Its description in RNAcentral is "partial 16S ribosomal RNA". It matches the Rfam family "Bacterial small subunit ribosomal RNA", at positions 524 to 776 of the family's 1533-position model. The record is from RNAcentral.